RNA transcript from Impatiens glandulifera, 2713 nucleotides. It is a transcript of the gene named dynamin-like protein ARC5, with no coding region annotated. The record is from RefSeq and is a predicted model, not a curated record. The transcript is spliced from 17 exons. Lineage: Eukaryota; Viridiplantae; Streptophyta; Magnoliopsida; Ericales; Balsaminaceae.
AAGCUUAGCUUCACUCUUUACGAAUUCUGAUGCUACAGUGGACAGCAUAAGAGAAAAGAGAGAGCAUAUCAUCAUCAAUGGAGAGAACUGUAGUAGAAGAGACAGCUGAGGCUUUCGAAAGCUUAGAAAUGGAAGGUAAGGCAACGCUCUACGAAGCUUAUAACGAACUUCAUGGUCUAGCACAGGAAUUCAACACGCCGUUUGAAGCUCCCGCUGUGCUGCUCGUCGGUCAUCAGACCGACGGCAAGAGUGCACUUGUCGAAGCUCUUAUGGGCUUCCAAUUUAACCACGUCGGUGGAGGAACUAAGACGCGCCGUCCAAUUACACUAAACAUGAAGUAUAAUCCGGAAUGCGAUUCUCCUGUAUGUCAUCUCGUCUCCGAUGCUGACCCUCUCAUUGCUCAUGAAAAGUCUCUCCAUGAAAUUCAGGUACAUAUUGAAGCAGAAAACAUGAGAUUGGAACGCGAAACUUGUCAAUUCUCUGCUAAAGAGAUAAUUAUAAGAGUGGAGUAUAAAAAUUGUCCAAAUCUCACAAUUAUAGACACUCCAGGUCUUGUUGCACCAGCUCCAGGUCGUAAAAACCGAGCUUUACAGGUCCAAGCUCGGGCUGUCGAGUCUCUUGUAAGAGCUAAAAUGCAGCAUAAGGAGUUCAUCAUAUUAUGCCUAGAAGAUUGUAAUGAUUGGAGCAAUGCAACAACAAGGAGGAUAGUGAUGCAAAUUGAUCCAGAGCUAUCGAGGACUGUAAUUGUGUCCACGAAGCUCGACACCAAGAUACCUCAGUUUGCGCGUGCUUCUGAUGUUGAAGUUUUUCUUCGUCCACCAGCUAGUACUCUCGAUGGCUUCAUGUUAGGAGAUUCUCCUUUUUUCACAUCAGUGCCUUCGGGAAGAGUUGGUUCUGGACCAGAAUGCCUUUACAAAUCAAAUGAGGAGUUCAAACAGGCUAUUUCUCUAAGGGAGAUGGAAGAUAUAUCAUUCUUGGAGGAGAAAUUGGAUCGUCCACUUUGUAAUCAAGAAAGAAAUAGGACAGGGGUUAGCAGUCUUCGGCGGUUCUUGGAGGAAUUACUGCAGAAAAGAUACAUUGACAGUGUACCAUCUAUCAUUCCACUUCUCGAGAAAGAGUCAAGAAGUGCAAACAGAAAACUAAAUGGAAUAAAUGAGGAACUCAGCACAUUGGACGAAGCAAAAUUGAAGGAGAAAGGAAGAACUUUUCAUGAUCUAUUCCUGACAAAGUUAUCGUUACUACUGAAAGGGUCGGUGGUUGCACCUCCGGAUAAAUUUGGUAUUUGUCUAAAUCUUAAACAGGUAGCAAUUAUAGAUAUUGUAUAUUUGUUUUCUUAUCAUCUCUUCCUUGUUCUAGGGGAAACACUACAAGAAGAACGGUCCAAUGGAGGGCCAUUUGUGGGUACUGAUGGUAUCCAGCUUCCAUACAAGUUAAUACCGAAUGCAGGAAUGCGUCUCUAUGGAGGUGCUCAAUACCACCGAGCAAUGGCUGAGUUUCGUUUCGUUGUUGGAGGAACUAAAUGCCCUUCAAUUACUCGUGAAGAAAUUGUGAAUGCGUGUGGAGUUGAAGACAUUCACGAUGGAACCAAUUAUUCCAGGACAGCUUGUGUGAUUGCUGUUGCAAAGGCUCGUGAUACAUUUGAACCUUUUCUUCAUCAGCUGGGCAGCAGACUCUUACACAUCUUGAAGAGAUUGCUUCCUAUUGCAGUUCAUCUGCUUCAGAAAGAAGGCGAAUUUCUGAGUGGUCACGAGGUGUUCUUGAGGCGGGUUGACACUGCCUUCAACAACUUUGCAGAAUCUACUGAGAGAUCAUGCCGAGAAAAGUGUAUGGAGGAUCUUGUGAGCACUACUCGUUAUGUUUCAUGGUCCCUCCACAAUAAGAAUCGAGCGGGAUUGCGCCAUUUUCUAGAUUCUUUUGGUGGUACAGAACACUCCCUUAACAACGAAAGUUCUCCAUCAGCUGCUGUAUCCCAGGAGUCAUCAUUUGGAUCCGGUUUCAACGAUAAACAAGAUAUCAAAUCAAGAACCGAUGUGAAACUCAGUCAGAUAUCAUCGGGCAUGGAUUCAAAUGCCGGUGGGGUUCAGACAACAGAGAUGAGACUCGCUGAUCUUCUCGACAUCACCCUUUGGAACAGAAGGCUUGCUCCUUCCUCGGAAAGGAUUGUCUAUGCUUUGGUUCAACAGAUCUUCCAUGGCAUUAGAGAAUAUUUCUUAGCUUCUGCUGAGCUUAAGUUCAAUUGCUUCCUUCUUAUGCCGGUUGUGGAUAAGUUGCCUGCACUUCUUCGGGAAGACCUAGAAUCUGCAUUUCAAGAUGAUUUAGAUAAUGUUUUUGACAUUACCAAUUUGAGGCACUCAUUGGGGCAGAGAAAACGAGAAACAGAAAUUGAACUAAAACGGAUACAAAGACUAAAAGACAAAUUCAGGCAGAUUCACGACCAACUCAAUCUGCAUCAAGUUUCUUCUUCGAGGCCAUAUGUAUAAUUUCCGAAGAUUAAUUUGCCGGGUUGGGAUGGCGACUAUUCUCUCAAAUUACUCUAUAUAGAUUGUGGUGGGCAUACGAGUUUGGUCAGAUAUGGAUAGACCAAAUGGAGUGAAGAAUAGGAGGCGUGAACUUGCCUCUUUUAUGUGUCUAUUUACUACUCUUACAAAUUUAUUAUUAUUAUUAUUAUUAUUGUAAAAUAUAACUAUUUUUUAAAGAAUUUACUUACAUUUAA